Non-coding RNA from Cricetulus griseus (Chinese hamster), 453 nucleotides. NCBI's taxonomy places the organism in Eukaryota, Metazoa, Chordata, Mammalia, Rodentia, Cricetidae. The record is from RefSeq and is a predicted model, not a curated record.
UUCAAGGUGACCACAGUAGAGAAGAACUUAUUUUUAGGAAGAAUUGGGAAAUGAAAUCUUAGUUGUCAAGAUCACAUUGAAGAAGUUCUGGGGUUUUAUUAUUCAUCAUAAAUCUUCUUGAUAGAGACACAUUUUCUAAGUCUGAUCCAAUUUGUGUCUUAUAUAUACAAGCAGUUGGAAAUAAAGAAUGGAGAGAGUUUGGAAGAACUGAAGUGAUUGAUAAUACUUUGAAUCCUGAUUUUGUAAGAAAAUUUAUUCUGGACUAUUUCUUUGAAGAAAGAGAGAAUCUUCGUUUUGACUUAUAUGAUGUUGAUUCAAAGAGUCCUAACUUAUCCAAACAUGUAAGUUCAUAUUUUUGUUAUUAUAUAUGUUUUAUGAUUAUUUGUUACUAUAUUCAUGCUCAUUUGAUAAUUUAAAAAUUGUAUGUCAGUGACUUUUGAUGUGAUGUGAUUU